Molecule: ribosomal RNA, 403 nt
Filed under: uncultured bacterium
Lineage: Bacteria
Description: partial 16S ribosomal RNA
Rfam family: Bacterial small subunit ribosomal RNA
Source: RNAcentral
AUUGAACGCUGGCGGCAGGCCUAACACAUGCAAGUCGAGCGAGCGGCGGACGGGUGAGGAAUGUAUGGGGACUGCCCGAUAGAGGGGGAUAACUACUGGAAACGGUAGCUAAUACCGCAUACUAUCGGAUAACCCAUAUGGGAGUAGCUAGUAGGUGAGGUAAUGGGUCACCUAGGCGACGAUCCCUCGCUGGUCUGAGAGGAUGAUCCGCCACACUGGGACUGAGACACGGCCAAGACUCCUGCGGAGGGAUCAGUGGGGAAUUUGGCACAAUGGGCGGAAGCAGGAUGCAGCCAGGCCGCGGGUAUGAAGAAGGCCCUAGGGUUGUAAAGUACUUUCAGUCGGGAUGCGUUACCGACAGAAGAAGCACCGGCUAACUCCGUGCCAGCAGCCGCGGUAAUAC